Molecule: ribosomal RNA, 443 nt
Filed under: uncultured bacterium
Lineage: Bacteria
Description: partial 16S ribosomal RNA
Rfam family: Bacterial small subunit ribosomal RNA
Source: RNAcentral
CCUACGGGUGGCUGCAGUGGGGAAUAUUUGGCAAUGGGCGCAAGCCUGACCCAGCAACGCCGCGUGAAGGAAGAAGGCUUUCGGGUUGUAAACUUCUUUUCUCAGGGACGCAGCAAGUGACGGUACCUGCGGAAUAAGCCACGGCUAACUACGUGCCAGCAGCCGCGGUAAUACGUAGGUGGCAAGCGUUAUUCGGAUUUACUGGGUGUAAAGGGAGUGUAGGCGGGACUGCAAGUCAGAUGUGAAAACCACGGGCUCAACCUGUGGCCUGCAUUUGAAACUGUAGUUCUUGAGUACUGGAGGGGCAGACGGAAUUCCUGGUGUAGCGGUGAAAUGCGUAGAUAUUAGGAGGAACACCAGUGGCGAAGGCGGUCUGCUGGACAGCAACUGACGCUGAGGCGCGAAAGCGAGGGGAGCGAAAAGGAUUAGAUACCCCAGUAGUC